AAUAGAUACCCAGGUAGUCCACGCCGUAAACGAUGAGUGCUAAGUGUUAGAGGGUUUCCGCCCUUUAGUGCUGCAGCUAACGCAUUAAGCACUCCGCCUGGGAGUACGGUCGCAAGACUGAAACUCAAAGGAAUUGACGGGGGCCCGCACAAGCGGUGGAGCAUGUGGUUUAAUUCGAAGCAACGCGAAGAACCUUACCAGGUCUUGACAUCCCACUGACCGGUAUAGAGAUAUACCUUUCCCUUCGGGGACAGUGGUGACAGGUGGUGCAUGGUUGUCGUCAGCUCGUGUCGUGAGAUGUUGGGUUAAGUCCCGCAACGAGCGCAACCCUUGAUCUUAGUUGCCAGCAUUUAGUUGGGCACUCUAAGGUGACUGCCGGUGACAAACCGGAGGAAGGUGGGGAUGACGUCAAAUCAUCAUGCCCCUUAUGACCUGGGCUACACACGUGCUACAAUGGAUGGUACAAAGGGCUGCAAGACUGCGAAGUCAAGCCAAUCCCAUAAAACCAUUCUCAGUUCGGAUUGC
RNAcentral lists this ribosomal RNA (525 nucleotides) under uncultured bacterium. Its description in RNAcentral is "bacterial SSU rRNA". It matches the Rfam family "Bacterial small subunit ribosomal RNA", at positions 777 to 1301 of the family's 1533-position model. The record is from RNAcentral.